ACGCACGCUGGCGGCGUGCUUCACCCCUGCAAGUCGCACGGAAAGGCCCUGCUUUUGUGGGGUGCUCGAGUGGCGAACGGGUGAGUAACACGUUAGUAACCUGCCCUUGACUUUGGGAUAACUUCAGGAAACUGGGGCUAAUACCGGAUAGGAGCUCCUGCUGCAUGGUGGGGGUUGGAAAGUUUCGGCGGUUGGGGAUGGACUCGCGGCUUAUCAGCUUGUUGGUGGGGUAGUGGCUUACCAAGGCUUUGACGGGUAGCCGGCCUGAGAGGGUGACCGGCCACAUUGGGACUGAGAUACGGCCCAGACUCCUACGGGAGGCAGCAGUGGGGAAUAUUGCACAAUGGGCGGAAGCCUGAUGCAGCAACGCCGCGUGCGGGAUGACGGCCUUCGGGUUGUAAACCGCUUUCGCCUGUGACGAAGCGUGAGUGACGGUAAUGGGUAAAGAAGCACCGGCUAACUACGUG
This 467-nucleotide ribosomal RNA is filed under the name uncultured bacterium. RNAcentral describes it as "partial 16S ribosomal RNA". It matches the Rfam family "Bacterial small subunit ribosomal RNA", at positions 29 to 507 of the family's 1533-position model. The record is from RNAcentral.